Papaver somniferum (opium poppy) is the source of this 3274-nucleotide long non-coding RNA. RefSeq lists it as uncharacterized. The record is from RefSeq and is a predicted model, not a curated record. NCBI's taxonomy places the organism in Eukaryota, Viridiplantae, Streptophyta, Magnoliopsida, Ranunculales, Papaveraceae. The transcript has 18 exons.
UCUUAUUUUUUGAAAACACAAGCCCUCUCUCUUUCUCGCUCGAUUCUUGUUUUUCCCGCGAGAGCAAAUCCACAAAAUUAGCAGCAAAAUAGGUUAACAAUUACAAUCUGAAACUCCAAAAACAAAGAGAAGCUUAAAUUUGCAUAAUGGAAUGGAGGAACCACACUUAUGGAUAUCAGAUUUGACUAAUUCAACUGUGAUUUCCUCGACUAUCGGCAAGGGAGUUUGGAAGAAUCACUAUGUGUCCUUAAAAAGUACGUUAUCGAUGCAGUAGGGAAACAAGAGUGAGAGUCAUUGGAUCAAAUUCUUGUUCCGAUGAUUGAAAAUUUAUUGAUGUGGAAGGGUUCAAGAAGAUCAAACCAAGUUUUUGAUACUUCUUAAUUGGUUAUUCGAAGAUGAACUUGUUUUUGAAGCUCUUGCAGUUGAUCUGGUGACCAGUAUCAAGAGAAAAAAUGAUCUGUAUCGCUCUUGGAUGGUGCACAUUGAUACGUGCACCUGUAGAACAUGGGAUAACUAAGAAGCAAUCUUCAGAUAUUGGGGUGAAGCGACAGAAAUUAUUGAAGAUUUUUUCCUCUUCAAUUUUACAUCGUUCGUCUGUUGUUUGCAGUGGAAGGCUCAUCUCUGUGCAACUGUUCUUGUAGCAAAUUGCAGGACGGAUUUGAAUUGCCUACUCGUCUUUCAGUAGCUGUUGCUGAUUGCAUUCUUGUCUGCAGAUAAAGAAAAAGUACUUGCUAUAUCAACAGCUACUGCUAGUACUAAGAAGCCAGUGAAUUCAAUUUAUACGCUUCAACAAGGCACUGAAAACGUGGAGAUGGAAUUGGUACUUUAGAUUCAUUUGGAUGAACUCGUUACUCUUGUGCUGAAACUCUUGGCUGUGGAGAUACAGUUAAAACUGGAAUGGCUUUACUUUCUUCUUGUGGGAAACACUAUUGCGUGCUUCUGAGGUUGGAGGACUGCAGAUUGUCUAAGAGCUACAUGGAAAUGUUGAAUCAGUACAUAUCAGGCAUCCAGGAUGUAUGUAAAAUUGGUGGCUACAGGAGCAAGUGGAAUAGAUAAGGGUGAUGAUUCUUGUAUAUUGAGGGGUUCUGUGUUUGAUCGUCUCUGUCCACUACUCAUAAUCAGGCUUCUUCCAUCAAGAGUAUUUGAUGAUCUUAACUUCUCCAUUAUGUAUGGUCAUCUUCUCAAAAAAAGGCAUUGUGGAUGCAGUUUGAACCUUGCUGAGGGUUCAACAUGAUUUAAGAAAUGUCAGAAAAAGUAAUUGCAAAAGUUCCACUGGUUGCAAAUAAAUGGUACAGCAGACUCCAGCUUUGAGAACCGCUCAAGUAUUGCUGUUCUUCUUGUUAACAGAGCAUUUAAUAAAUAUGAACUUGAAGAUGUCAGAAAGCUUGCAGCCGAAUUAUGUGGUCGCCUUCAUCCUAAGAUUCUCUAUCCAAUGAUGUGAUCCCAGUUGGAGACUGCCGCCUGUUCUCGGGAUAUAAAAGAAUCUAUGUUUGCAAUUUGUACUUCCCUUUUGUUAAGGGGCAGUACUCCGUCUCUGCAUCCUGUUAUGCUUGAGAUAAGGAAAAUAUUGGAAAUGGUUCUGACUUGGCCGUCUUUGGAUGGCGAUGAAGUCUCUAAAGCACAACAUGGGUGCAUUGAUUGUUUAGCACUGAUGAUUUGUGCUGAGCUACAACUUCAGACUCGUCGAAGGAGUUCUCUAUGAGGAAAACUUAAACAGAUGAAAAGGAAAAGAGUUCUGAUGAAGAUCUCGAACCCGGAAAGAAGGACUGGCUAAAAGAAUUCUUCCUGUUCUCAGUAAUUCUGCUGCGGUGAUUACAUACUCAGACGUUAGAGCUGCAUGUAUACAAGUUCUAUUCUCAGCUGUGUAUCACCUCAAAUUGGCAAUUAUUUCUUACUCGUCCGAUCUACUUAGGCUUUCUAUAAAAGCACGUGAAGAAUGUUCAGAUAAGGAAAAGAUGGCAUGAGUGAAAUUGAUGGCAUCACUUAUGUCAAGUGGAGAGUAUUGGAAAUGGACUGCUUGAAGCAAACUCUCUUCUAACAAGUAUUUUGGUGAUGAAUACUGCUUCACCGCAAUUGAGACAAGUGCGUGAGAAGUUGUGAGUAUGCAUGAUGUCUCCGGUCGGAUGAUAUCUAUCCAACUUCUCUAGAUUGCACACCUGCAUAUAUAGUAAUUCGUUUAAAAUCUUUCAUCCAACAUGUUAUCUCUAGACUACUUGUUUAAUUGAAAGAAAGAAUGACUUUAGAGGUUCCUUGUCCUGAUUUACAAAAUGCUAUCCAGUGAAGAGCUUUAUUAACCGGAAGCCUCCCCAUAUCGGGUACUUCUUGAAGCCCUCCGGGGGAAUUCUUGACACGGUAGAUUAUGAGGAAUUCUCUUCAUGAAUUCGAUCCUUUUAGUGUAUUUACAUGAGCGUGACACCAGUAUUUGUCGUCAUUACGAGCUAGAGACACUACUUUGAAGUCAUCACUUCUGUAUUUCUAAAUAAAUCCAUAUUGUAAGCAGUUUGUCUUACCAAUAUAGAUGUAGUUAUGGCCGCAAGAUUGAUAACUUCAAAGUGGUGUCUCUGGCAAAAUGGCGAUAAAUAUUGGUGUUGGGUUCAUGUAUAUAUACUAGGAAGAUCGAAUUCAUGGAGAACAAUGAAGAAGAAUAUUUAUCAUUUAUCGUGUCAAUAAUUUCCUAGGCGGCUUCAAAAAGUCCCUGAUACGAGGCUGCUUCCUGUUAAUCGAGCUCUUCACUUGAUAGCAUUUCGUAAAUCAAAACAAAGAACCUCUAAGGUCAUUCUUCUUUUAAUUUUGAAAGAUAAAUAUUCAAAGAGAUGCAAUUUCCUAACAUGUUGGAUAAAAAUUACAAACAAAUUCACUUAACAUGUAGGUGUUCAAUCUGAUUGGUUGGAAAAUCCAUCUUUAUAAACUUCGUUUGGUUUUCACUGCUGCAUUCACUGGAAAUUUCCAAUUCGCGCUGGGAUUUCUUAGAUAAAUGAGAAGCCAAGUUUAUACUGGAUAUCGGGCUUUAGUGCCCAUGCCGACUGUGGUUAUUGGAUGCUUGGCUGCAUAUUUUGGUCAUGCAGAUAAGCAUGUAAUUCAAAUUGUGGGUCCUUUGGAAAAAGGAAUAAAUCCUUGUUCAAUUCAAUUCUUAAAUUUCGAUCCUAAAUAUCUAUCCUACACGUCAUGACAGGAUUUCUUGCUUUAGCCGUAGGUCCUUGUAAAUGACAUUUUAUUGUCCAAAUCUCUUCCUCCUACAUCAAUUGAACCUUUAGAAAUAGAUGAUGAUGAAGUU